This 73-nucleotide transfer RNA is filed under the name Camelus bactrianus (Bactrian camel). It matches the Rfam family "tRNA". From Rfam's summary of the family: Transfer RNA (tRNA) molecules are approximately 80 nucleotides in length. Their secondary structure includes four short double-helical elements and three loops (D, anti-codon, and T loops). RNAcentral also lists the same sequence under 2 other names. Lineage: Eukaryota; Metazoa; Chordata; Mammalia; Artiodactyla; Camelidae. The record is from Rfam by way of RNAcentral.
GAAGGUAUAGUUCAAGUGGUAGAGCACAUGCUUAGCAUGCACAGGGUCCUGGGUUCAAUCCCCAGUACCUCCU